RNAcentral lists this transfer RNA (82 nucleotides) under Leptobacterium flavescens. It matches the Rfam family "tRNA". From Rfam's summary of the family: Transfer RNA (tRNA) molecules are approximately 80 nucleotides in length. Lineage: Bacteria; Pseudomonadati; Bacteroidota; Flavobacteriia; Flavobacteriales; Flavobacteriaceae. RNAcentral also lists the same sequence under 8 other names. The record is from Rfam by way of RNAcentral.
GCGGGCGUGGUGAAAUUGGUAGACACGCUAGACUUAGGAUCUAGUGCCGCAAGGUGUGAAGGUUCGAGUCCUUUCGCCCGCA